This 410-nucleotide long non-coding RNA is filed under the name Parus major (Great Tit). RNAcentral's name for it is "lncRNA (ENSPMJG00000011189.1)". The record is from RNAcentral. Lineage: Eukaryota; Metazoa; Chordata; Aves; Passeriformes; Paridae.
GGGAGAAGCGGCUGAAGCGCCCAAGUUGCAGGCGGCUCGCUGCGCAGACGUGCCGCUCAGCCUGCAAGUGGAAGCGGCACCGCACCGGGGCUCGGCUGUCGCUCCCGCGGGGGCAGCGCUGCCCGGGGGCCGCUGACAACGCCCCGGAGAGACCCCACCGCCGCUUCCCACGGGGAAAGACGAGACCGGCGCUUCUCGGUCCCCCUCACCGCUGGGGCAGCUCCUGCCUUUCCCGCAGGAGCACCAGCCGGCGCACCCUCGGAGGGCGGGAGAGGACCGCUCUCCUCCAGAAGCGCAGCGGGAUGCGGCGGGCACCACCGGUCGGGAGCGACCCCCGGCGAGCAGGGAGCCCGCGGCACCUCAGCUGUGAAGAUAGAAGACAAGCAGUAAUCCCUAUGAAUGGCAGCUGA